UUUUUUUUAUAAUCUUACUAGUCUCUAAAUCUUCCUGCCAUUCUAUCUUAAUAUCCUCAAGGAAGUCGCUGGUCGGAAGUGAAAUGGUCGAAACUUCAGCUUGCUCGGGUAGCUGCGAAAGCGCAUCUGCAAGAACAUUCUCUUUCCCCUUUUUGUAAGUUAUUUCAUAAUCAAAUCUAAGAAGUUUUGUUACCCAUUUUUG
RNAcentral lists this long non-coding RNA (202 nucleotides) under Musa acuminata (dwarf banana). Its description in RNAcentral is "long non-coding RNA (MACU_LNC011625)". Lineage: Eukaryota; Viridiplantae; Streptophyta; Magnoliopsida; Zingiberales; Musaceae. The record is from RNAcentral.